Molecule: ribosomal RNA, 558 nt
Filed under: Clostridium sp. 37B
Lineage: Bacteria; Bacillati; Bacillota; Clostridia; Eubacteriales; Clostridiaceae
Description: bacterial SSU rRNA
Rfam family: Bacterial small subunit ribosomal RNA
Source: RNAcentral
CCAAAGUUUGUUUUAUCAAACUUUUCACAGGGUCAUGGCAGCUUAGCGGGAGAAUUAAAAAAAAUCGAUUGAUCCGGCCUUAACUUGGGUUCCGUUUCCCAACUGGAUAUCUUGGGUGCCUGAGAGGAAUGUGAAUUCCUAGAGUACCGUCCCAAAGCGUUGAGAUUAGGAACAAUACCCGUGGCGAAGGCCACUUUCUGGACUGUAACUGACACUGUGGCUCGAAAGCGUGGGUGAUAAAAUUGAUUAGAUACCCUGGUAGUCCUCGCCUUAUGUAUGAAUUCUAGUUGUACGGGUUGUCAUGACCACUGUGCCGCCGCUAACUCUUUAAGUAUUUCGCCUGGGGAUUACGGCCACACGAUUAACUCUCAAAGGAAUUGACGGGGGCCCUCUUAAGCAGCGGAGCAUGUGGCUUAAUUCGAAGCAAUCCGAAGAACCUUACCUUGACUUGAUAUCUCCUGAAUUACCCUUAAUCGGGCAAGCCCUUCGGGGUAGGAAAACAGUUGGGGCAUGGUUGUCGUCAGCUCGUGUCCUGAGAUGAAGGGUAAAGUCUCGCAA